RNAcentral lists this ribosomal RNA (383 nucleotides) under Cedecea lapagei. RNAcentral describes it as "bacterial SSU rRNA". It matches the Rfam family "Bacterial small subunit ribosomal RNA", at positions 958 to 1341 of the family's 1533-position model. Lineage: Bacteria; Pseudomonadati; Pseudomonadota; Gammaproteobacteria; Enterobacterales; Enterobacteriaceae. The record is from RNAcentral.
AACGAGAAGAACCUUACCUACUCUUGACAUCCAGAGAACUUAGCAGAGAUGCUUUGGUGCCUUCGGGAACUCUGAGACAGGUGCUGCAUGGCUGUCGUCAGCUCGUGUUGUGAAAUGUUGGGUUAAGUCCCGCAACGAGCGCAACCCUUAUCCUUUGUUGCCAGCGGUUCGGCCGGGAACUCAAAGGAGACUGCCAGUGAUAAACUGGAGGAAGGUGGGGAUGACGUCAAGUCAUCAUGGCCCUUACGAGUAGGGCUACACACGUGCUACAAUGGCGCAUACAAAGAGAAGCGACCUCGCGAGAGCAAGCGGACCUCAUAAAGUGCGUCGUAGUCCGGAUUGGAGUCUGCAACUCGACACCAUGAAGUCGGAAUCGCAAGUAA